GUGCUCUCUCAGCAGGUGUCUGAAGGCCAGGAUGGUCUCCCCAUGGCAGCUCCUCUGGCUGCUGGUGCUCUGGGCUCAGGAUUCCCAAGGAGACAUUGUGCUGACCCAGUCUCCAGCCUCCUUGUCUGGAUCUCCAGGAGACAAAGUCAGUCUCAGCUGCAAGGCCAGUCAGAGUGUAACAGAUACUAUUGGUAUUAGCUACCUUCAUUGGUACCAGCAGAAACCUGGUCAAGCUCCCAGACUCCUCAUCUCCUAUGCCUCCAGCCUGGCACCUGGAGUGCCUGCCCGGUUCAGCGGCAAUGGUUCUAAGACAGAUUUCACCCUCACCAUCAGCAGCUUGGAGCCUGAGGAUGCUGGAGAUUAUUACUGUCAGAAGUAUGAUAACUACCCUUUCCCACAGUGCCUCAGCCCAGAACAAAAACCUACCCAGGCUAUUUAG
Molecule: non-coding RNA, 439 nt
Organism: Dromiciops gliroides (monito del monte)
Lineage: Eukaryota; Metazoa; Chordata; Mammalia; Microbiotheria; Microbiotheriidae
Source: the annotation of a RefSeq genome assembly